This 26-nucleotide non-coding RNA is filed under the name Homo sapiens (human). Lineage: Eukaryota; Metazoa; Chordata; Mammalia; Primates; Hominidae. The record is from RNAcentral.
UGGAGUUUGAUAUGGUCAGGUUUGCA